RNAcentral lists this long non-coding RNA (307 nucleotides) under Capra hircus (goat). RNAcentral's name for it is "lncRNA (ENSCHIG00010014760.1)". The record is from RNAcentral. Lineage: Eukaryota; Metazoa; Chordata; Mammalia; Artiodactyla; Bovidae.
AUGGUUGAUUUCAGCAAGAGGAUCCACCACAGCUGGGGCGACAGCAAGUUGUACGGCAGCAGGUGGACACACCGCAGCUGGGGCGGCAGCAGGACCACCUGCUGCCGGCCCACCUGCUGUGAGUCCAGCUGCUGUCAGCCCUGCUGCCCCCCAACUUGCUGUCAAACCACCUGUUGCAGGACCACUUGCUGCAAACCUACUUGUGUGACCACCUGCUGCCAGCCCACCUGCUGUGAGUCCGGCUGCUGUCGGCCUUACUGCCCCCCAACUUGCUAUCAGACUAGUGAACACACCUGCUGUAGGACCA